Molecule: transfer RNA, 76 nt
Filed under: [Butyribacterium] methylotrophicum
Lineage: Bacteria; Bacillati; Bacillota; Clostridia; Eubacteriales; Clostridiaceae
Also listed under: 7 other names
Description: tRNA-Ala
Rfam family: tRNA
About the family: Transfer RNA (tRNA) molecules are approximately 80 nucleotides in length. Their secondary structure includes four short double-helical elements and three loops (D, anti-codon, and T loops).
Source: RNAcentral
GGGGGCAUGGCGCAGUUGGGAGCGCGUCUGACUGGCAGUCAGAAGGUCAGGGGUUCAAGUCCCCUUGUCUCCACCA